RNAcentral lists this ribosomal RNA (283 nucleotides) under uncultured bacterium. RNAcentral describes it as "partial 16S ribosomal RNA". It matches the Rfam family "Bacterial small subunit ribosomal RNA", at positions 933 to 1215 of the family's 1533-position model. The record is from RNAcentral.
UGGAGCGUGUGGUUUAAUUCGAUGCAACGCGAAGAACCUUACCUGGGCUCGAACGGCUCACGAAAGCGCCUGGAAACAGGUGUUUCCCGCAAGGGACGGGAGUCGAGGUGCUGCAUGGCUGUCGUCAGCUCGUGUCGUGAGAUGUUGGGUUAAGUCCCGCAACGAGCGCAACCCUUGCCCUGUGUUGCCACUCCGAAAGGAAGCACUCUCAGGGGACCGCCAGCGAUAAGCUGGAGGAAGGUGGGGAUGACGUCAAGUCAGCAUGGCCUUUAUAUCUUGGGCA